UAAUACAUCUUCCCGAGUAAUGGA
Molecule: non-coding RNA, 24 nt
Filed under: Arabidopsis thaliana (thale cress)
Lineage: Eukaryota; Viridiplantae; Streptophyta; Magnoliopsida; Brassicales; Brassicaceae
Source: RNAcentral